GACGAACGCUGGCGGCGUGCCUAACACAUGCAAGUCGAGCGAGGAGAGUUCCUUCGGGAACAACCUAGCGCGGACGGGUGAGUAACACGUGGGCAACCUGCCUUGUAGAGGGAAUAGCCUUCCGAAAGGAAGAUUAAUACCGCAUAACAUUACAGUUUCGCAUGAAACAGUAAUUAAAGGAGUAAUCCGCUACAAGAUGGGCCCGCGGCGCAUUAGCUAGUUGGUGAGGUAACGGCUCACCAAGGCGACGAUGCGUAGCCGACCUGAGAGGGUGAUCGGCCACACUGGGACUGAUACACGGCCCAGACUCCUACGGGAGGCAGCAGUGGGGAAUAUUGCACAAUGGGGGAAACCCUGAUGCAGCAACGCCGCGUGAGUGAUGAAGGCUUUCGGAUCGUAAAGCUCUGUCUUCGGGGACGAUAAUGACGGUACCCGAGGAGGAAGCCACGGCUAACUACGUG
This 461-nucleotide ribosomal RNA is filed under the name uncultured bacterium. RNAcentral describes it as "bacterial SSU rRNA". It matches the Rfam family "Bacterial small subunit ribosomal RNA", at positions 28 to 507 of the family's 1533-position model. The record is from RNAcentral.